AUACUUACCUGGACGGGGUUUUUGGGUGAUCAAGAAGGCCCAUGGCCUAGGCUGGUGACCUCCAUUGCACUUUGGAGGGGUGCUGUGCCUAAGAUCUCCCCAAAGUGGGAGAGUCUACGUCAUAAUUUGUGUUAGGGAGGGUACGCGUUCGCGCGGCCCUCCG
Small nuclear RNA from Macleaya cordata, 163 nucleotides. It matches the Rfam family "U1 spliceosomal RNA". From Rfam's summary of the family: U1 is a small nuclear RNA (snRNA) component of the spliceosome (involved in pre-mRNA splicing). NCBI's taxonomy places the organism in Eukaryota, Viridiplantae, Streptophyta, Magnoliopsida, Ranunculales, Papaveraceae. The record is from Rfam.